CCUACGGGCGGCAGCAGUGGGGAAUAUUGGACAAUGGGGGGAACCCUGAUCCAGCCAUGUCGCGUGUGUGAAGAAGGCCCUCGGGUUGUAAAGCACUUUCAGUGAGGAAGAACGCCUGGUGGUUAAUACCCAUCAGGAAAGACAUCACUCACAGAAGAAGCACCGGCUAACUCCGUGCCAGCAGCCGCGGUAAUACGGAGGGUGCGAGCGUUAAUCGGAAUUACUGGGCGUAAAGCGCGCGUAGGUGGCUUGAUAAGCCGGUUGUGAAAGCCCCGGGCUCAACCUGGGAACGGCAUCCGGAACUGUCAAGCUAGAGUGCAGGAGAGGAAGGUAGAAUUCCCGGUGUAGCGGUGAAAUGCGUAGAGAUCGGGAGGAAUACCAGUGGCGAAGGCGGCCUUCUGGACUGACACUGACACUGAGGUGCGAAAGCGUGGGUAGCAAACAGGAUUAGAUACCCUAGUAGUC
This 465-nucleotide ribosomal RNA is filed under the name Vreelandella stevensii. RNAcentral describes it as "partial 16S ribosomal RNA". It matches the Rfam family "Bacterial small subunit ribosomal RNA", at positions 338 to 795 of the family's 1533-position model. Lineage: Bacteria; Pseudomonadati; Pseudomonadota; Gammaproteobacteria; Oceanospirillales; Halomonadaceae. The record is from RNAcentral.